UGUGGGGAGGGACGAAAAAAGCGUGACCUAAUACGUCUCGCCUUGACGGUACCUCCUUAGCAAGCACCGGCUAACUCCGUGCCAGCAGCCGCGGUAAUACGGAGGGUGCAAACGUUGCUCGGAAUUAUUGGGCGUAAAGCGCACGUAGGCGGUCCGCUAAGUCGGAUGUGAAAGCCCUCGGCUUAACCGAGGAAGUGCAUCCGAAACUGACGGGCUAGAGUACGGAAGAGGGUUUCGGAAUUCCCGGUGUAGAGGUGAAAUUCGUAGAUAUCGGGAGGAACACCAGUGGCGAAGGCGGAAACCUGGGCCGAUACUGACGCUGAGGUGCGAAAGCGUGGGGAGGCAAACAGGAUUAGAUACCCUGGUAGUCCACGCCGUAAACGAUGAGCGCUAGGUGUUGGGGGGUAUUACCCCGACCCGUACCGUACCGACGACGUAACCGUAACGUUAACGGUACGCCGUCCGUCCCGUCCGGGGUAGGGGUACGGUACCGGCCGACGGACGUAACUAACAACGAAGUAGUA
RNAcentral lists this ribosomal RNA (524 nucleotides) under uncultured bacterium. Its description in RNAcentral is "bacterial SSU rRNA". The stretch from base 1 to 467 matches the Rfam family "Bacterial small subunit ribosomal RNA", at positions 434 to 873 of the family's 1533-position model. The record is from RNAcentral.